RNAcentral lists this ribosomal RNA (276 nucleotides) under Triticum aestivum (bread wheat). Its description in RNAcentral is "partial small subunit ribosomal RNA". Lineage: Eukaryota; Viridiplantae; Streptophyta; Magnoliopsida; Poales; Poaceae. The record is from RNAcentral.
AUGGCGGAGGAACCGUCCACCAAGCAUCAUCAAGACAAGCCGUCGGACAAGAGCAGCAACCUCAUCGACGUUCACGUCCCCGGCGAGAAGCGCGAGUACACCAAAACCCUAAGAGAGGUUGAGCUCCAUGGCAAGGAGACGCUGGAGAUCGUCUGCACCAGCGAACCAGACAAGGACGACGAGGUGAUCUCCAGGCUCUGGAGGAAGGCUGGCGGCAUGCUUCGUAGGAUCGUUGGUGUUGGUGUGCACUACACCAACGGAGAUGAACCACCCUAG